UUUCCGUAGGUGAACCUGCGGAAGGAUCAUUAUUGAUUGGCCUCACGGCCUCAUCAUAAUUCCAAUAACCACUGUGAACCGUUUGACCCUCUUCAUUGAGGUUGUCAAUUUUUAUACCAAUACUAUGUGUAAUGAAUGUGAUCUAUUGAAACAAAAACAAAACUUUCAACAACGGAUCUCUUGGCUCUCGCAUCGAUGAAGAACGCAGC
RNAcentral lists this unclassified non-coding RNA (209 nucleotides) under uncultured fungus. Its description in RNAcentral is "sequence contains ITS1, 5.8S rRNA gene". The stretch from base 161 to 209 matches the Rfam family "5.8S ribosomal RNA", at positions 1 to 49 of the family's 154-position model. The record is from RNAcentral. Lineage: Eukaryota; Fungi.